GGAGGGUAUGCGAAUGGCUAGCGGCCUGACUCGAAAUCAGGUGCCGGGUAACCGGUUGAGGGUUCGAAUCCCUUGCCCUCCG
RNAcentral lists this transfer RNA (82 nucleotides) under Planctomycetales bacterium. Its description in RNAcentral is "tRNA-Ser". It matches the Rfam family "tRNA". From Rfam's summary of the family: Transfer RNA (tRNA) molecules are approximately 80 nucleotides in length. Their secondary structure includes four short double-helical elements and three loops (D, anti-codon, and T loops). Further hydrogen bonds mediate the characteristic L-shaped molecular structure. tRNAs have two regions of fundamental functional importance: the anti-codon, which is responsible for specific mRNA codon recognition, and the 3' end, to which the tRNAs corresponding amino acid is attached (by aminoacyl-tRNA synthetases). tRNAs cope with the degeneracy of the genetic code in two manners: having more than one tRNA (with a specific anti-codon) for a particular amino acid; and 'wobble' base-pairing, i.e. permitting non-standard base-pairing at the 3rd anti-codon position. The record is from RNAcentral. Lineage: Bacteria; Pseudomonadati; Planctomycetota; Planctomycetia; Planctomycetales.